GACGAACGCUGGCGGCGUGCUUAACACAUGCAAGUCGAACGGUGAUGCUCCAGCUUGCUGGAGUGGAUCAGUGGCGAACGGGUGAGUAACACGUGAGCAACCUGCCCCAGACUCUGGAAUAAGCGCUGGAAACGGCGUCUAAUACUGGAUACGAAACUGGCCCGCAUGGGCAUGGUUUGGAAAGUUUUUCGGUUUGGGAUGGGCUCGCGGCCUAUCAGCUUGUUGGUGAGGUAAUGGCUCACCAAGGCGACGACGGGUAGCCGGCCUGAGAGGGCGACCGGCCACACUGGGACUGAGACACGGCCCAGACUCCUACGGGAGGCAGCAGUGGGGAAUAUUGCACAAUGGGCGAAAGCCUGAUGCAGCGACGCCGCGUGAGGGAUGACGGCCUUCGGGUUGUAAACCUCUUCAGCAGGGAAGAAGCGAAAGUGACGGUACCUGCAGAAGAAGCACCGGCUAACUACGUG
This 467-nucleotide ribosomal RNA is filed under the name uncultured bacterium. RNAcentral describes it as "partial 16S ribosomal RNA". It matches the Rfam family "Bacterial small subunit ribosomal RNA", at positions 28 to 507 of the family's 1533-position model. The record is from RNAcentral.